CCCUUAGAUGUUCUGGGCCGCACGCGCGCUACACUGAUGCAUUCAACGAGCCUAUCCCUGACCGACAGGUCCGGGUAAUCUUUGAAUCUGCAUCGUGACGGGGAUAGAUUAUUGCAAUUAUUAAUCUUCAACGAGGAAUGCCUAGUAGGCGCAAGUCAUCAGCUUGCGUCGAUUACGUCCCUGCCCUUUGUACACACCGCCCGUCGCUCCUACUGAUUGAGUGUCUCGGUGAAUUCGUUGAUCUUCUGUCGAUUCAGUUCACUGAUCCGACGGUGGAAAGUUGAAUGAACUUCGUCACUUAGAGGAAGGAGAAGUCGUAACA
RNAcentral lists this ribosomal RNA (322 nucleotides) under uncultured eukaryote. RNAcentral's name for it is "partial 18S ribosomal RNA". It matches the Rfam family "Eukaryotic small subunit ribosomal RNA", at positions 1470 to 1796 of the family's 1831-position model. The record is from RNAcentral.